GACGAACGCUGGCGGCGUGCUUAACACAUGCAAGUCGAACGGAAAGGCCUGCUUUCCCUUGUGGAUUGCGGGUACUCGAGUGGCGAACGGGUGAGUAACACGUGAGUGAUCUGCCCCCAACUUGGGUAUAAGCCUGGGAAACUGGGUCUAAUUCCCGAUAGGACUGCAGGGUGGUGCCUGUGGUGGAAAACGAUUUUCUAGUGGUUGGGGAUGAGCUCGCGGCCUAUCAGCUUGUUGGUGGGGUAAUGGCCUACCAAGGCGGCGACGGGUAGCCGGCCUGAGAGAGUGGACGGCCACAUUGGGACUGAGAUGCGGCCCAGACUCCUACGGGAGGCAGCAGUGGGGAAUAAUGCACAAUGGGCGGAAGCCUGAUGCAGCAACGCCGCGGGGGGAAUGACGGCCUUCGGGUUGUAAACUCCUUUCGACAGCGAGGAAGCCACCUGGAUGGAAGGGUGGUGACGGUAGUGGUAGAAGAAGCACCGGCUAACUACGUG
RNAcentral lists this ribosomal RNA (494 nucleotides) under uncultured bacterium. RNAcentral's name for it is "partial 16S ribosomal RNA". It matches the Rfam family "Bacterial small subunit ribosomal RNA", at positions 28 to 507 of the family's 1533-position model. The record is from RNAcentral.